This 497-nucleotide ribosomal RNA is filed under the name uncultured bacterium. Its description in RNAcentral is "partial 16S ribosomal RNA". It matches the Rfam family "Bacterial small subunit ribosomal RNA", at positions 28 to 507 of the family's 1533-position model. The record is from RNAcentral.
GAUGAACGCUGGCGGCGUGCCUAAUACAUGCAAGUCGAGCGAACAGACGAGGAGCUUGCUCCUCUGACGUUAGCGGCGGACGGGUGAGUAACACGUGGAUAACCUACCUAUAAUACUGGGAUAACUUCGGGAAACCGGAGCUAAUACCGGAUAAUAUAUUUAACCGCAUGGUUCAAUAGUGAAAGACGGUUUUGCUGUCACUUAUAGAUGGAUCCGCGCCGCAUUAGCUAGUUGGUAAGGUAACGGCUUACCAAGGCAACGAUGCGUAGCCGACCUGAGAGGGUGAUCGGCCACACUGGAACUGAGACACGGUCCAGACUCCUACGGGAGGCAGCAGUAGGGAAUCUUCCGCAAUGGGCGAAAGCCUGACGGAGCAACGCCGCGUGAGUGAUGAAGGUCUUCGGAUCGUAAAACUCUGUUAUUAGGGAAGAACAAAUGUGUAAGUAACUAUGCACGUCUUGACGGUACCUAAUCAGAAAGCCACGGCUAACUACGUG